This 466-nucleotide ribosomal RNA is filed under the name uncultured bacterium. RNAcentral describes it as "partial 16S ribosomal RNA". It matches the Rfam family "Bacterial small subunit ribosomal RNA", at positions 28 to 507 of the family's 1533-position model. The record is from RNAcentral.
GACGAACGCUGGCGGCGCGCCUAACACAUGCAAGUCGAACGAGCGAGAGAGAGCUUGCUUUCUCGAGCGAGUGGCGAACGGGUGAGUAACGCGUGAGGAACCUGCCUCAAAGAGGGGGACAACAGUUGGAAACGACUGCUAAUACCGCAUAAGCCCACGACCCGGCAUCGGGUAGAGGGAAAAGGGGCAAUCCGCUUUGAGAUGGCCUCGCGUCCGAUUAGCUAGUUGGUGAGGUAACGGCCCACCAAGGCGACGAUCGGUAGCCGGACUGAGAGGUUGAACGGCCACAUUGGGACUGAGACACGGCCCAGACUCCUACGGGAGGCAGCAGUGGGGAAUAUUGCACAAUGGGGGAAACCCUGAUGCAGCGACGCCGCGUGGAGGAAGAAGGUCUUCGGAUUGUAAACUCCUGUUGUUGAGGAAGAUAAUGACGGUACUCAACAAGGAAGUGACGGCUAACUACGUG